AGCAGCCGCGGUAAUUCCAGCUCCAAUAGCGUAUAUUAAAGUUGUUGCAGUUAAAAAGCUCGUAGUUGAAUUUCGGGAUCAGUACGCCGGUCGUGCCUUCGGUAUGCACUGGUGUCACUGAUUCCUCCCUUCUGAAGACCGUUAUGCCAUUUAUUUGGUGUGGCGGGGAAUCAGGACUGUUACUUUGAAAAAUUGAGUGUUUAAAGCAAGGCUCGCGCUUGAAUACAUUAGCAUGGAAUAAUGAAAUAGGACGUUUGAUCUAUUUUGUGGUUUCUAGGAUCGACGUAAUGAUUAAUAGGGAUAGUUGGGGGCA
Molecule: ribosomal RNA, 313 nt
Filed under: uncultured Glomeromycotina
Lineage: Eukaryota; Fungi; Glomeromycota
Description: SSU rRNA
Rfam family: Eukaryotic small subunit ribosomal RNA
Source: RNAcentral